Oryctolagus cuniculus (rabbit) is the source of this 1900-nucleotide long non-coding RNA. The record is from Ensembl. NCBI's taxonomy places the organism in Eukaryota, Metazoa, Chordata, Mammalia, Lagomorpha, Leporidae.
AUGGGCUCUGACCACCGGGGUUUCCAAUCCCUGUGGGCAACAGGGGAAAGGAAGUGGUGUGCAGACAGGGUGGGGGCCCCUGCGGGAGCCCCACUGCAGGGCUGGCAGCGGGAGCCGGGAAAGCGGGAGACGCAGGAGCCGGGGCAGGGGCGCGGAUCAGCCAGCCUGCAGGCCUACAGGCCCCGCAGCGGAGGCAGGAGACACAGGAGCUGGGGCAGGGGUGCGGAUCAGCCAGCCUGCAGGCCUACAGGGCCCGCAGCGGAGGCAGGAGACGCAGGAGCCGGGGCAGGGGUGCGGAUCAGCCAGCCUGCAGGCCUACAGGGCCCCGCAGUGGAGGCAGGAGACGCAGGAGCCGGGGCAGGGGUGCGGAUCAGCCAGCCUGCAGGCCUACAGGCCCCGCAGCGGAGGCAGGAGACGCAGGAGCCGGGGCAGGGGUGCGGAUCAGCCAGCCUGCAGGCCUACAGGCCCCGCAGUGGAGGCAGGAGACACAGGAGCUGGGGCAGGGGCGCGGAUCAGCCAGCCUGCAGGCCUACAGGCCCCGCAGUGGAGGCAGGAGACACAGGAGCCGGGGCAGGGGUGCGGAUCAGCCAGCCUGCAGGCCUACAGGGCCCCGCAGUGGAGGCAGGGCCACAGGUGGGCCUGAGGAAGCACUUCCUGCAGCUGAGUGCAGCCGGUGCCUUGAGUCAGACCCUGGUGCCCCUCUGAUCUCAGUGUCACCCCAGGGGAGGCUCAGCCCUCUCUGGCUCUGUCCCCUCUGCUAGGACCCACGGUGCCCCUAAGCCUUGAUUCCCCCGUCCUUGCCAGGCCCAGUGGCAGAGCGGAGGGACUCGGCACAGGGCAGGAAGGGAAUGGAAGUGGGAGGGCAAUGAAGCUGAGGAGGGUCGCGCUGGGCCAUACCGGGGACUCCCGGAGGAAGGCACCUCCCUCCCGACACGCCACAUGGCCACAGGUCCUGGAGCUCACUCCCCAGAGAUACGGCAGGCUGGAUUCUGGCCCAUGGACAGGAGACCGCUGCCUUCCAGGCCAGGCAGGAGGCAGGCAACUCCGCCCCUCCCAGCCCAGGUCCCCCACCGGGGGCAGGUGGCUUCUGAGCACGGUUCCGAAGGCGGUGAGGGUCUGUCCCGGCCACCCUCUCCGCAAAGUGCAUUUCUCCCAGGCCUUGUCACAGCGUGCAGCCACUCAUCCCACCUGGCUCCUGCUGUCUGUGCACCAGCGUGGACGCGGCCGGGGCCCGCCAGGCCUCUCUGCCACCCGCCCGUCUGUGCAUGGCUGCCUCAGGCACUGGGUCUCCCUGGCUGCCAGCACUGACCUUCAGGGUGAGGCUCGGCAGUUCCAGGAUUUCCCGAGGAGGAAGAAGCAGAAAGAGCAAGGUCAGGGCGGCGGCCGAGACCCCCGUGCCAAGGUCAGCCCAGGGCUCUGCCCUCACGCUGAGCACACUCGAAGGGCGUGUGGGUGAGCACCACGUCCCGGCCAGGUCCUGGGAGAUGUGAGUGCCGUCCUGCUCCUUCCUCUUCAAGCCCUGGGAGCUCCAGGAGGAACACAGAGGGGCAGGCCUAGAUCCGUGGUCCUCCAAGACGCAGAGCCAGGGCGGGCCCUGUGCUACAGUGAAGACGCCACGUGGGAUGCCCGCCUCCCGGCCACACAGCCUGGCUUUGAGUCCCCGCUCCGCUUCUGCUUCCAGCUCCCUGCUAACACACACCCCGGGAAGCAGCAGCCAACGGCUCAGGGACCGCGAGGGUCCCUGUCACUCUCGUGGGAGACCCAGCUGGAGUUCCCAGCGCCUCGUGUUGGCCUAGCCCAGCCCUGAUUAUUGAGGGCAAAAACAAGUGGAUGGAAGAGCACUCGCUUGCUCUCUCUCUCUGCCCUUUAGUAAGAAUUAAUAAAAAUGUAAAGCCCUGCA